This 352-nucleotide ribosomal RNA is filed under the name uncultured bacterium. RNAcentral's name for it is "bacterial SSU rRNA". It matches the Rfam family "Bacterial small subunit ribosomal RNA", at positions 8 to 349 of the family's 1533-position model. The record is from RNAcentral.
AGAGUUUGAUCCUGGCUCAGGAUGAACGCUAGCUACAGGCUUAACACAUGCAAGUCGAGGGGCAGCAUGGUCUUAGCUUGCUAAGGCUGAUGGCGACCGGCGCACGGGUGAGUAACACGUAUCCAACCUGCCGUCUACUCUUGGCCAGCCUUCUGAAAGGAAGAUUAAUCCAGGAUGGGAUCACGAGUUCACAUGUCCGCAUGAUUAAAGGUAUUUUCCGGUAGACGAUGGGGAUGCGUUCCAUUAGAUAGUAGGCGGGGUAACGCCACUAGUCAACGAUGGAUAGGGGUUCUGGAGAGGAACGGUCCCCCANAUUGGAACUGAGACACGGUCCAAACUCCGUACGGGAGCA